GAGUUUGAUCCUGGCUCAGGACGAACGCUGGCGGCGUGCUUAACACAUGCAAGUCGAACGAUGAAGCUGGAGCUUGCUCCGGUGGAUUAGUGGCGAACGGGUGAGUAACACGUGAGAAAUCUGCCCCUGACUCUGGGAUAACUGCGGGAAACUGUAGCUAAUACCGGAUACUUUCCCUGGUGGGCAUCCACUGGGGAAGAAAGAAUUUCGGUCAGGGAGGAUCUCGCGGCCUAUCAGCUAGUUGGUGAGGUAACGGCUCACCAAGGCGACGACGGGUAACCGGCCUGAGAGGGUGACCGGUCACACUGGGACUGAGACACGGCCCAGACUCCUACGGGAGGCAGCAGUGGGGAAUAUUGCACAAUGGGCGCAAGCCUGAUGCAGCAACGCCGCGUGAGGGAUGAAGGCCUUCGGGUUGUAAACCUCUUUUAGCAGGGAAGAAGCGAAAGUGACGGUACCUGCAGAAAAAGCACCGGCUAACUACGUGCCAGCAGCCGCGGUAAUACGUAGGGUGCAAGCGUUGUCCGGAAUUAUUGGGCGUAAAGAGCUCGUAGGCGGUUUGUCACGUCUGCUGUGAAAAUCCAAGGCUCAACCUUGGACUUGCAGUGGGUACGGGCAGGCUAGAGUGCGGUAGGGGAGAUGGGAAUUCCUGGUGUAGCGGUGGAAU
Molecule: ribosomal RNA, 667 nt
Filed under: uncultured bacterium
Lineage: Bacteria
Description: bacterial SSU rRNA
Rfam family: Bacterial small subunit ribosomal RNA
Source: RNAcentral